AGUGAACGCUGGCGGUAGGCCUAACACAUGCAAGUCGAACGGCAGCACAGUAAGAGCUUGCUCUUACUGUUGGCGAGUGGCGGACGGGUGAGGCAUACAUCGCCAUCUACUUUUUCGUGGGUGAUUACGUAGGGCAACUUACGCUAAUACCUCAUACUACCUACGGGUUAAAUCAGGAGAUCUUCGCACCUUGCGCGAUUCAAUUAGCCGAUGUCGGAUUAGCUAGUUGGCUUGGUAAAGGCCCACCAAGGCGACGAUCCGUAGCUGGUCUGAGAGGAUGAUCAGCCACACUGGAACUGAGACACGGUCCAGACUCCUACGGGAGGCAGCAGUGGGGAAUAUUGGACAAUGGGCGAAAGCCUGAUCCAGCCAUACCGCGUGAGUGAAGAAGGCCUUCGGGUUGUAAAGCCCUGUUGUUGGGAAAGAAAAGAAGCAGGUUAAUACCCCGAUGUUCUGACGGUACCCAAAGAAUAAGCAACGGCUAACUUCGUG
RNAcentral lists this ribosomal RNA (492 nucleotides) under uncultured bacterium. RNAcentral describes it as "partial 16S ribosomal RNA". It matches the Rfam family "Bacterial small subunit ribosomal RNA", at positions 29 to 507 of the family's 1533-position model. The record is from RNAcentral.